AACUCGCUUGGGUCUUCUUCCACAGUGGAGACUUUGCUCUUUAGCUCUUUGCAGUAAAUCUUGAUGCUGCUCACUAUUUGGGUGCGGACUGUCUUUUUGAGCUGUAACACUCAAGGGGAAAGUCUGCAGCUUCAUUCCUGAGACCAGCAAGACCAUGAGCUCUCCAAGAGAAAUAAACAGCUGCGGAUGUGCCGCUGUAAGAGCUGUGACAUUCGCCGGGAAAGUCUGCAGCUUCAGUCGUGAAGCCAGCGAGAUCAUGAAGCUACCAGAAGGAAGAAACUCAACACGUCCGAAUAUUAGAAGGAACAAACUCUGGACACACUAUCUUUAAGAACUGUAAUACUCAUCGCGAGGGUCCGUGGCUUCAUUCUUGAAGUCAGUGAGACCAAAAACCCGCCAAUUCCGGACACAGUACGAAAGUGGACUAAUACGGGCUGGUGUGAGUAAAGCUGCCCUGAACACUCGGGGACAAGUCUUUGUGUGCAUGUAUGUUUUUAUUUGUUUUGGAUGAUGUCUUUCUCUCUUUGUAGAGGGCAAAAUUAUUUCUAGAAUCCCCGGACCAGACUUUCACUUAUGUAUCAUUGGCCAGUCCUAGUCACCCUCUCAUCUCCAAACCAAUACCUAAAAAAGGAAAUGGAGGCACAUUGGAGCAAUCCCUUGACAUCCUUUGGGGUUGGGGGAUUGAGGUCCUCGCAGGAGCGAGUUGCCUCCCUGAAUAGUCAGCCUUACCAACACAGGAAAAAGGAAGGAGUAAUUUUUGGGUAUGCAGCCAUCCGUGUCUGUCACAUUACUUUACCCGUGAGUAUUUUUACUACAGAAUAUAGUAGUAGCAUUAUUUACAUUUCACAGUGAGAGUCUUUUCUCUGACAUAAAGGUGCUUAAGCAGAUCCAUUGCCAAGAGAUAUUCAACAAUAGUCGUAGGAAUAAGCAGAGAAGAGACAAACAUAAAGUUGACAGAAAGAGAAUUGCUCUGGGGAAUAUGAUAUGAGGGCACAAGCAUCAUAUGGAGAGAAUUUUACCAACUGGCUGCCAGAUGUGGGCCUGCCCUGGGCUGAGGCACAGCUGGUCUGCCCUACAGUAAAUCAGAUGUGGGAGGCAAGUGCCAUCUGGCACGUAAACUUGGCAGAGCCUGGAAAGACAAGUGAACUCACGUGUGAAGUACUUAUUAUUAUGGAUGAACAUGAGCAGAGCUCUGGCACCAGCAGCAGGGCGAGCAGUUUCCUUCACCUAGGGUCUUAGGUCUCAUCUGCUGCUGCCACAGCGCGGCCAGCCGAGGGACUCCCUGGCCCUCAGCACCUCUUCUCUGGUCGAGGCUGACUUUGCUUUAGUUAUGAGGAGCUAAGGAGUUUGGCCCUUUAAUUUCAGCCCUGAUUUAGCAUUUCUGCCCUUUCUCACUUCUUCCCUUGUACUCUCUUCCUAAGAGUUUGUUUCCCUUUGCUAAGCUUCUCAAGUGCAGGGACCAGAUCUUGCAUAUUGUAUUCGCUGUUUCUGCUCCUGGCAUUCUGCCUUGCACAAAGUAGGUGCUCAACAAGGCAUUGCAAAAAUGUCUUCGCCACAGAUAAAGACCAGAGGGAAGUAUUGUGAAAGUGGUAUUUCCACCCUCCACUGUUUGCAUCUAUUUCCAAAUACCGGUUGAUUGGUAACAUCUAAGACGGAUCACAGCAAAUAUUGUACAUGUUUAGUGCACAAUUCGGUUAACAUUGCCCUAAAAGAUUCCAUUAACCAUAAUUCUGAUAUAUCCACUACUAAGAAUCGUAAAAUGUUCGAGCUGAAAGGCACUCUAGAGAUGAGCAUUUACGAGGCCCAGAGAUUUGAAGGACUUGCACAAGGCCAUAUUGGAAACAGAACAGAACAGUUAUCUAUAACCCACUUUAUUCCUGCAAGAAUUUAAACUGGGUUUUAAGGAUAAAUAAAAUAUAAGCCAGC
Molecule: long non-coding RNA, 1926 nt
Filed under: Homo sapiens (human)
Lineage: Eukaryota; Metazoa; Chordata; Mammalia; Primates; Hominidae
Description: HSALNT0373479
Source: RNAcentral